CUUUAGACAAGGGGGGAGGGAAGACGGAGGAGAGGCGGAGGGGUAUUGUGCGUGGCUGCAAGCCGCUACAUCAGUGAGGGAUUUUUUUUUCUGAGCGCCUGAACAAAGAGAUGGAAGCUAUUUUACCUGCGGAGGAGGAGGAGGAGGAGGAGGAGGAGAGGCUCUCAGCACUGAUGUUUGGAAGAAGAGACAACAGACAGUGGUACAAGACAGACGCUUUUGCACACAAGCGCUGAUGUACACAAACGCCGCCGUAUACAGCGGAGAAGUGGCUCCAUCUUACCAAAACAGCGAGAAUAGUGCCACGCAGCAGCGGUAAUUGGACAGAGGUUGCUAUGGAAACAAGAGAAACGGUUGCCUGAUGGUUGGAGCUUUGCUCUGGGAACGUCUUGUUGAGGAGCUGGAUGCAGAUACAGAAGAAUUCUUCAAAAGAGCGAUCAUGGGUGAAGAACAUUGGAUGGAAGUCAUGGCAGUUCUCACUUGCUGCAAAAAAGAGAAAACCAAACCAUCACCGACAGCAGCGGCCAAAA
Long non-coding RNA from Thalassophryne amazonica, 530 nucleotides. RefSeq lists it as uncharacterized. The record is from RefSeq and is a predicted model, not a curated record. Lineage: Eukaryota; Metazoa; Chordata; Actinopteri; Batrachoidiformes; Batrachoididae. The transcript has 2 exons.